Non-coding RNA from Eucalyptus grandis, 112 nucleotides. The record is from Rfam. NCBI's taxonomy places the organism in Eukaryota, Viridiplantae, Streptophyta, Magnoliopsida, Myrtales, Myrtaceae.
UUUGUGGGGAAUGUUGUCUGGUUCAAGGCUUCAAGUUCUUGAGUACUACCCAUCAAAGACUCAAUCUUGGAUUCAUUCCAAUGGCCUCGGACCAGGCUUCAUUCCCCUCAAU